UAAGCGAAUAGUGAAUCUGGGCGUCAACCUCACAGGCUAUUAUUCGAACUCACUGACUCGAGAACAGCAGAGGUAACUGGAAUUUCUGAGGUAGGGUAAUAUCCGUAGAUAUCAGAAGGAACACCAAUGGCGUAGGCAGGUUACUGGGCUGUUUCUGACACUGAGGCACGAAAGCGUGGGGAGCGAACCGGAUUAGAUACCCGGGUAGUCCACGCCGUAAACGAUGGAUACUA
RNAcentral lists this ribosomal RNA (233 nucleotides) under uncultured Candidatus Saccharibacteria bacterium. RNAcentral describes it as "partial 16S ribosomal RNA". It matches the Rfam family "Bacterial small subunit ribosomal RNA", at positions 584 to 818 of the family's 1533-position model. Lineage: Bacteria; Candidatus Saccharimonadota. The record is from RNAcentral.